RNAcentral lists this small RNA (650 nucleotides) under Hordeum vulgare subsp. vulgare (domesticated barley). The record is from RNAcentral. Lineage: Eukaryota; Viridiplantae; Streptophyta; Magnoliopsida; Poales; Poaceae.
GAGGGUUCCUCCUCUCCCUCGUCCUCUCCCUCCAGCGCCGCCAGUGAGACUCUCGUCGUCCCCAACGCCAUGACCAGCACCGGGUCGAGCUCGUCGCCGGCGUAGCGGCCACCUCGUCGCCUCCCCGUAGCUGCGCAAGCAAGAGGACCCAGGAGGGGUUCCAUUUUCGCGCGGAGCCGGAGCCGGGGCUUCUUCCUCGACGUCCCCGACGAGCACCUUCUUCCUCGGCCAGCGGCUUUUACCUGCAGCAGUAGGCGCACUUCUUCUUCUUCCACGUCGGGCGCCUCUCCUCUCGACGCAAGCUGUUCAUUGGCUGUUAUUCUUGUGUUGGGUAGCACCGGGAGCGGAGACCGAAUACGUGGAGUCAGGAGAGUACGUGUAGGACGAUCCAGAACCAUUCCAAGCUGAGGAUAUCACAGCAGGUACAGGUACCCCAGAGGCAGAGGAUCCCGACGGCACCCAGCUGGCGUGGCAGUACGACGAGGAGACAGAUCGCCUUUACGUGAACUAUCCAGAGGACUGAGCCGUGGUCGUGAUCGUGGGCCUGCAGCGGGUAGCAUAGCAUUUCCCUUGUUUUGAAGUCCGUACCGGAACUACAUUGAUUGUAUCUGCGUUGUACUCUGUAUUAUUAAUAAGAAGACAGUUGAACC